This 337-nucleotide unclassified non-coding RNA is filed under the name soil metagenome. Its description in RNAcentral is "partial contains 5.8S ribosomal RNA, internal transcribed spacer 2, and large subunit ribosomal RNA". The stretch from base 1 to 120 matches the Rfam family "5.8S ribosomal RNA", at positions 35 to 154 of the family's 154-position model. The record is from RNAcentral.
GAUGAAGAACGUAGUGAAAUGCGAUAAGUAAUGUGAAUUGCAGAAUUCCGUGAAUCAUCGAAUCUUUGAACGCACAUUGCGCCCCCUGGCAUUCCGGGGGGCAUGCCUGUCCGAGCGUCAUUUCUGCCCUCAAGCACGGCUUGUGUGUUGGGUGUGGUCCCCCCGGGGACCUGCCCGAAAGGCAGCGGCGACGUCCGUCUGGUCCUCGAGCGUAUGGGGCUCUGUCACUCGCUCGGGAAGGACCUGCGGGGGUUGGUCACCACCAUGUUUUACCACGGUUGACCUCGGAUCAGGUAGGAGUUACCCGCUGAACUUAAGCAUAUCAAUAAGCGGAGGA